This 450-nucleotide ribosomal RNA is filed under the name uncultured bacterium. RNAcentral describes it as "bacterial SSU rRNA". It matches the Rfam family "Bacterial small subunit ribosomal RNA", at positions 354 to 796 of the family's 1533-position model. The record is from RNAcentral.
GUGGGGAAUAUUGGACAAUGGGCGCAAGCCUGAUCCAGCCAUGCCGCGUGUGUGAAGAAGGCCUUCGGGUUGUAAAGCACUUUUGUCCGGGAAGAAAUCUUCCAGGUUAAUACCCUGGGAGGCUGACGGUACCGGAAGAAUAAGCACCGGCUAACUUCGUGCCAGCAGCCGCGGUAAUACGAAGGGUGCAAGCGUUACUCGGAAUUACUGGGCGUAAAGCGUGCGUAGGUGGUUCGUUAAGUCUGCCGUGAAAGCCCCGGGCUCAACCUGGGAAUGGCGGUGGAUACUGGCGGGCUAGAGUGCGGUAGAGGGUGGUGGAAUUCCCGGUGUAGCAGUGAAAUGCGUAGAGAUCGGGAGGAACAUCUGUGGCGAAGGCGGCCACCUGGACCAGCACUGACACUGAGGCACGAAAGCGUGGGGAGCAAACAGGAUUAGAAACCCGAGUAGUCC